RNAcentral lists this ribosomal RNA (301 nucleotides) under uncultured bacterium. Its description in RNAcentral is "partial 16S ribosomal RNA". It matches the Rfam family "Bacterial small subunit ribosomal RNA", at positions 509 to 807 of the family's 1533-position model. The record is from RNAcentral.
CAGUAGCCGCGGUAAUGCGAAGGGUGCAAGCGUUAAUCGGAAUUACUGGGCGUAAAGCGUGCGUAGGCGGUGAGUUAAGUCUGCUGUGAAAUCCCCGGGCUCAACCUGGGAAUGGCAGUGGAUACUGGCUCGCUAGAGUGUGUCAGAGGAUGAUGGAAUUCCCGGUGUAGCGGUGAAAUGCGUAGAGAUCGGGAGGAACACCGAUGGCGAAGGCAGCCCCCUGGGCCAAUACUGACGCUCAUGCACGAAAGCGUGGGGAGCAAACAGGAUUAGAUACCCGAGUAGUCCCUGUCUCUUAUAC